CAAGUAGGUGGUCUCGUUUGUCUGAGGUGAAAUCCCUGGGCUUAACCUAGGAACUGCCUCAGAAACGGCGAGACUGGAGUACUGGAGAGGGUCGCGGAAUUCCCGGUGUAGCGGUGAAAUGCGUAGAGAUCGGGAGGAAUACCAGAGGCGAAAGCGGCGGCCUGGACAGUUACUGACACUCAACUGCGAAAGCGUGGGGAGCAAACA
Molecule: ribosomal RNA, 207 nt
Filed under: uncultured bacterium
Lineage: Bacteria
Description: partial 16S ribosomal RNA
Rfam family: Bacterial small subunit ribosomal RNA
Source: RNAcentral